CCUACGGGAGGCAGCAGUGAGGAAUAUUGGUCAAUGGACGAGAGUCUGAACCAGCCAAGUAGCGUGAAGGAUGACUGCCCUAUGGGUUGUAAACUUCUUUUAUAUGGGAAUAAAAUGUUCCACGUGUGGGAUUUUGUAUGUACCAUAUGAAUAAGGAUCGGCUAACUCCGUGCCAGCAGCCGCGGUAAUACGGAGGAUCCGAGCGUUAUCCGGAUUUAUUGGGUUUAAAGGGAGCGUAGGUGGAUUGUUAAGUCAGUUGUGAAAGUUUGCGGCUCAACCGUAAAAUUGCAGUUGAAACUGGCAGUCUUGAGUAGAGUAGAGGUGGGCGGAAUUCGUGGUGUAGCGGUGAAAUGCUUAGAUAUCACGAAGAACUCCGAUUGCGAAGGCAGUUCACUGGACUGCAACUGACUCUGAGGCUCGAAAGUGUGGGUAUCAAACAGGAUUAGAUACCCUUGUAGUC
RNAcentral lists this ribosomal RNA (460 nucleotides) under uncultured bacterium. RNAcentral's name for it is "partial 16S ribosomal RNA". It matches the Rfam family "Bacterial small subunit ribosomal RNA", at positions 338 to 795 of the family's 1533-position model. The record is from RNAcentral.